Molecule: long non-coding RNA, 353 nt
Filed under: Dermacentor andersoni
Lineage: Eukaryota; Metazoa; Arthropoda; Arachnida; Ixodida; Ixodidae
Description: uncharacterized LOC126536943
Source: RNAcentral
UCUGCGCGCGCUUGGCGCGCUUUUGUGCGUGUCGAAAGCGUAUAACGUGCGCGAUAUUCGCGCGAGCGCAGUUUGACUUGAGCAAUCGUGGGCUUGGACUCCGUGACAUUUGCUUUCGUCAUAUGCGAGUUAGGGGCUUGCCGACAGGUAAACCGCCGCUGUACUUAGAUGAGUUGAGAUUUACACAUCAAUGCCAGCUCACAAAGCAUCUAAUACGGCAAUCAGCCAGCCACCUCCGCAGAUGGAGAAUUCUGCAGUUUCCAAUCAUACUGUUUCUGUUGUCCUUGGCAGAGAUGUUGAUUGUACACAGAGGGAAUAUAUUGUAGGACAAUAAAAAUAACUUGUCAUGACAA